ACUAUUAUAAAAGUGUGGUAAUAAGGUGAUAGUUUGAAGACAUUUUUACCCUUUAAGAAGGUAGGUAUUAAUAAUUUUGCCCUUUUGUUGACUGAUGAAUAGUGGUAGUGGUUGACAUGGUGCACGUGACUAAGAGAGACUUUCUUGUGAAGUUUCCAUUUCAUUUUUCCAUGCAUGUGGGCUCCACUCCACACUAUCUAUCUCUCUCUCUCUCUCUUCAGCUUGAUUACAUAUAAUUUGUUAAUCAAAACUAUAUGGUUAGGGCUAAUCAUAAUCAUUAACAUAGAUUUGAGUGCUGAAUUAUGUGGUUAUAUAGCAAUAAACGUAUUAAGUAUUAUUGUAUGGUGUCCAAUUGAUUAAAUUUAAAGGUGGUGUGUACUCUCUUUCUUUCUAACCACACCAAUAAACUCAGAUCAAUCUUUAUGUUUUUUUUUUCUCUAUGGUCCCAACUAUUGCUGGAUCAUCUAACUUCUUUGAUCCAUCUGGUUUGGUUCCUUCAAAGUCUAUCAAUGGCAGAUCUUGAAAACAGCAAGCUCAUUCAUGGAGAUAAACCUAUAGCCCCAUAUUUAGUAAUUCCGGAACUCUUAUGGCUACACAAACUGUUGAGGAUAGUUCUAGAUCUGGUUCAAGACGAACAGAGGGCGUUUAUUGAAACCAUUGAAUUCAGAAUAUGGUAAAGUAGCUCCUGGGUUCGUAUCAUCUUGACUUGGUUUUGAAUUUCUCUAUUUUUUUUAAAAAAUACCGAGUCGGGCUCUUCUCUUACCUGUAUCAAAUAGAACAUGCUGAGCCAAAUCUUCUUCAUGUAAAACAUACUUUAUUUAGAUCGAGAAAAUCGUACGGUUUUAUGAAACCAUGUGCUAUGGCUCGAAUCCGUAGUCGAUCCUAUUUCUGAUGGUCUUCGUAAUAAAAGAGACAUUUGGCGAUAAGCCUGUGCUUGUUAGGAGGGGUCGUCAUAAAUGAUUGAAGUGUGUUAUUCACGGUAACCGCGAAGACAUUCAUAAACUGCUCUACCGUAAUACUUAGCGGAUAACCCCAAUCUAGGUUUAAUAGUACAUGCCAAUAGUGUGCAACCAUACUUUUUUAAUUUAUCUCUUUCAACUUGGAUCUGAGUGGUUUUGCUAGAAUAGAAUAGGGAAUAAUGAGAUCAUUGUUUUAGUAAAUGAUGCGGAGAAGGGUAGUGACAUUGAUCCACAAGAAGCUCAGUUUUUGUUAUGCGUAUUAACAGCUACUCUAGGAGGAAUGUUUUUAUGUGGUGCUAACGAUUUAAUAACUAUCUUUGUAGCUCCAGAAUGUUUCAGUUUAUGCUUCUACCUAUUAUCUCGAUA
Molecule: long non-coding RNA, 1325 nt
Organism: Cannabis sativa
Lineage: Eukaryota; Viridiplantae; Streptophyta; Magnoliopsida; Rosales; Cannabaceae
Exons: 2
Source: RefSeq, a predicted model, not a curated record